This is an RNA transcript of Hibiscus syriacus, 1678 nucleotides long. It is a transcript of the gene named COP9 signalosome complex subunit 7-like, with no coding region annotated. The record is from RefSeq and is a predicted model, not a curated record. The transcript is spliced from 9 exons. NCBI's taxonomy places the organism in Eukaryota, Viridiplantae, Streptophyta, Magnoliopsida, Malvales, Malvaceae.
CAAGUGCGGCGGGGCCAUUUUACCAGUUCUCACGGGAACUCUCAAAUCCCACAAUCCCCACCAUUUUGUUUAUUUAUUUAAUAUCCAGAUUUUCUUUCGCUUGAUCCACCUUCUUCGGCGCCAAAUCCAAACACUAAUUUCCAACAAUAUUCUUCAAAAUUAUUUCAUUUUUUUCCUGGUUGUGAUCUGUGAGUAUUUUUGAAGAUGGAAAUCGAGGAAAAGCAAGCAGAGUUAAUUGAUCAGUUCGUGAAGCAAGCAUCGGCUCAGAAGGGUUCAGCUCUUGGCCCUAUAAUCGAUGAAGCGACGUCGCAUCCUUCACUUUUCGCCUUCUCUGAGAUUCUUGCAGUGCCCACUGUCGCUGAGCUUGAAGGAACUGACAACUCAGUGCACCUUGAGGUGCUUCGAUUGUUUGCUCAUGGCACGUGGAGUGAUUACAAGAGGAAUAGCGGUAGGCUUCCUCAACUGGUUCCGGAUCAAGUCCUCAAGUUAAAGCAACUUACUGUCCUUGCACUUGCGGAGACAAACAAGGUACUAUCAUAUGGUAAGCUAAUGCUGGAGUUAGAUGUCACAAAUAUUCGUCAACUUGAAGAUUUUCUGAUCAAUGACUGCAUGUAUGCGGGUCUAGUUAGAGGAAAGCUGGAUCAGCUGCGAAGAUACUUUGAGGUUCAAUUCGCUGCUGGUAGGGAUUUGAGGCCAGGACAACUUGGAAGUAUGAUACAAACACUAUCAAACUGGUUGGCUACGUCAGAAAACUUACUUAUCACAAUUCAAGAAAAGAUAAAAUGGGUUGAUAAUAUGAGUGAAUUGGACAAGAAACAUCGAAAGGAGCUUGAAGAUAGGGUGAUGGAAGUAAAGAAAUCCGUUGCCAUCAAGCUUCCUUACAUUAUCACAGAAGUAACACUGCAAUUAUUCUGAUGAAAUCUACUCUGAACCCGGUGGACUGAUGGACCGCGAGGAAGGCCAAAACCUACCCAAGAGGAGAAGGCUCUGAUGUCCUGAAGAUAUAACAUACAAUUUAUUGGAUGGGUGUUUAGAGGACCAGCCGGAUUAUUUUGUUCACGACAUUCCCAGCAACCAAUGAUUCUGCUUUUCAGACUGAUACUGCUGCUUUGGUAGUGAAUUUGUCAUUAUGGCGUUAGAAUCCGAGAAUCAGUAGCAUAUCUUAAACCCAUCGAUAUUCGGAUUGAUUAGAGAAGACUAGGACUAGAUAUGGACUGGAAAAUUUAAACUACUUAGAUAUCCAAGAUUUACAAAUUCAAGUUAUUGCACUUUUCGAUAUUGAACUCCAUGCUGCCUUCCGAAUAUCGUAUCUUGCUUAUUGCUCUGUGUGGCUAAUGGUUCCAUUAUGUUGGAAAAGCUUUAUUCAAGCGUUCUUGUUUCCGGUACAUUGUUUGUCUGCCAGACUGAUCUGAACUUUGAAUGCAACAGUGCAGUAUGAAUCAACCAUUCUAGGGUGGAACUGACCGGAAGCCGCUUUGGACAUACAUCGUAUGAUGGUGGAAUUUUGCUCACUCUUGCAGCCACUUCGGUUUUGUAGGCGCGGGAUUUGUGGCGUUUCUCGUUUUUAUCAUUUGGUUCGUUUUGUUCUUAUGUGCCUUGCUUAUUCAACGGUGGUUGAGAAUAUCAUUGAGAAAAAGAAAACGUUUAUGGGUUCGUGAAUCCAUCGGUGGCGUCUUUG